RNAcentral lists this ribosomal RNA (248 nucleotides) under uncultured Bacillaceae bacterium. RNAcentral's name for it is "partial 16S ribosomal RNA". It matches the Rfam family "Bacterial small subunit ribosomal RNA", at positions 796 to 1041 of the family's 1533-position model. Lineage: Bacteria; Bacillati; Bacillota; Bacilli; Caryophanales; Bacillaceae. The record is from RNAcentral.
CACGCCGUAAACGAUGAGUGCUAGGUGUUAGGGGGUUUCCGCCCCUUAGUGCUGGCGUUAACGCAUUAAGCACUCCGCCUGGGGAGUACGGCCGCAAGGCUGAAACUCAAAAGAAUUGACGGGGACCCGCACAAGCGGUGGAGCAUGUGGUUUAAUUCGAAGCAACGCGAAGAACCUUACCAGGGCUUGACAUAUAUGCGCUAGCACUAGAGAUAGUGGGUUCUCUUCGGAGACGUAUAUACAGGUGG